Molecule: ribosomal RNA, 406 nt
Filed under: uncultured microorganism
Description: bacterial SSU rRNA
Rfam family: Bacterial small subunit ribosomal RNA
Source: RNAcentral
CAGCAGCCGCGGUAAUACGGAGGAUCCAAGCGUUAUCCGGAUUUAUUGGGUUUAAAGGGUGCGUAGGCGGCUUAUUAAGUCAGGGGUGAAAGACGGUGGCUCAACCAUCGCAGUGCCUUUGAUACUGAUGAGCUUGAAUAUACUUGAGGUAGGCGGAAUGUGACAAGUAGCGGUGAAAUGCAUAGAUAUGUCACAGAACACCGAUUGCGAAGGCAGCUUACCAAGGUAUGAUUGACGCUGAGGCACGAAAGCGUGGGGAUCAAACAGGAUUAGAUACCCUGGUAGUCCACGCCCUAAACGAUGAAUACUCGAUGUUGGCGAUAUACAGUCAGCGUCCAAGCGAAAGCGUUAAGUAUUCCACCUGGGGAGUACGGCCGCAAGGUUGAAACUUAAAGGAAUUGGCGGG